ACUCCUACGGGAGGCAGCAGUGGGGAAUAUUGCACAAUGGGCGCAAGCCUGAUGCAGCCAUGCCGCGUGUGUGAAGAAGGCCUUCGGGUUGUAAAGCACUUUCAGUCGUGAGGAAGGUAGUGUAGUUAAUAGCUGCAUUAUUUGUACGUUAGCGACAGAAGAAGCACCGGCUAACUCCGUGCCAGCAGCCGCGGUAAUACGGAGGGUGCGAGCGUUAAUCGGAAUUACGUGGGCGUAAAGCGCAUGCAGGUUGGUUUGUUAAGUCAGAUGUGAAACGCCCGGGGCUCAACCUCGGAAUAGCAUUUGAAACUGGCAGACUAGAGUACUGUAGAGGGGGUAGAAUUUCGAGGUGUAGCGGUGAAAUGCGUAGAGAUCGUAGAAGGUAACU
RNAcentral lists this ribosomal RNA (388 nucleotides) under uncultured bacterium. RNAcentral describes it as "bacterial SSU rRNA". It matches the Rfam family "Bacterial small subunit ribosomal RNA", at positions 335 to 710 of the family's 1533-position model. The record is from RNAcentral.